ACGAAUAUGGCCAAACCCCUCAUCUCUCCAAUCCUCUCCUCCAAGCAUUGAUCGCGAAAUGAGCCGGUCGUUGGUGGGCGGUGGAGGCCACGCGCCGCUUUUCACAGUGUCGCAGUGGGCGGAGAUGGAGCAUCAAGCCAUGGUUUUCAAGUACCUCAAGGCCGGUCUGCCUGUUCCUCCCGAGCUCUUGGCCCCUAUUCGCAGCAGCUUCAAUCUCAUGUACCCCGAUUUCCUUCGUCACCCCUCUUUGACUUAUGCUUCCUUCUGCGGGAAGAAAAUAGACCCAGAGCCAGGGCGGUGCCGCAGGACAGAUGGCAAGAAGUGGAGGUGCUCUAAGGAUGCGCAUCCAGACUCCAAGUAUUGUGAGCGCCACAUGAAUCGUGGUCGCUACCGUUCAAGAAAGCUUGUGGAAUCACAAACUGCCUCUCAAACUUUGUCAACUGUGGCAUCCUCAGAGAUAAGGACUGGGAGCCAUAGCCACAGUGGGAGCUUCCAAAACAUGCCUUUGCACUCGGCGGGAAACAGUGGAAGUCUAUGCUUUGGAAGUGAUGUGUCUCAGUUGAAGAUGGAGCCUAUACCCUAUGGGAUAGUGAAGCGUGGAAACAGGGUCCUCGAUGGAGCAGAGGAACAUAAUUUUAUGUCAGAAGCUUCAGGGAGUGCAAGAUCUGUUGGGGUGGAUAGUACUGUAGACAGUCCAUGGCGUCUUAUGACAUCUCGAGUUCCCUCGAACUCCUCAUCUGAACCUAGAGAUGGUUGUUUUUUACUAAAUAACAACUCCCAGCUGCAGACAUUACAAGAUAGUGAAGCUUUGACUGUAGAUGCUGCUAUGACCAAACAACAGCAACGGCAAUAUGUUGGUGGAGAGUUUGGCGUACUGAGAUCAGUAAAACAGGAACAACAUUCUCUUCAGCCUUUCUUUGAUGAGUGGCCUAAAUCAAGAGAUCUGGGGUUUCAUCACAAUGAUCCUCGGUCAACCAAUAACGUAUCAAACACAACUCAGCUGUCAAUGUCUAACCUGAUGGCUCCCUCUAAUUUCUUCAAGGAGCGCUGAAUCACCCAGUGAUGCAUAUGCUUGAACCUGUGAGCUGA
Fragaria vesca subsp. vesca is the source of this 1089-nucleotide RNA transcript. It is a transcript of the gene named growth-regulating factor 5-like, with no coding region annotated. NCBI's taxonomy places the organism in Eukaryota, Viridiplantae, Streptophyta, Magnoliopsida, Rosales, Rosaceae. The record is from RefSeq and is a predicted model, not a curated record. The transcript has 5 exons.